GGAGGGGUCGCAUAGUGGCCGAGUGCGCACGCUUGGAAAGCGUGUAUCCCCGAUAAGGGGAUCGUGGGUUCGAAUCCCACCCCCUCCG
This 88-nucleotide transfer RNA is filed under the name Candidatus Omnitrophota bacterium. RNAcentral describes it as "Candidatus Omnitrophica bacterium tRNA-Ser". It matches the Rfam family "tRNA". From Rfam's summary of the family: Transfer RNA (tRNA) molecules are approximately 80 nucleotides in length. The record is from RNAcentral. Lineage: Bacteria; Pseudomonadati; Candidatus Omnitrophota.